Molecule: long non-coding RNA, 406 nt
Organism: Catharus ustulatus (Swainson's thrush)
Lineage: Eukaryota; Metazoa; Chordata; Aves; Passeriformes; Turdidae
Exons: 3
Source: RefSeq, a predicted model, not a curated record
GCAGGAGGGGUCACUGCCCACUCCACGCUCCGACCAAUCUCGAUCUCAGCUCCUUCCUAUAGUGUGGUCUCUUGAAGUAAUCAACGAUUUCUGUUUUCCUGUAGUCAUAAUUUUACCAGUGUCACUUCAGACCUGAGUAUUUACACAAACUUGCUGGUGACACUGCCACUCCUGAGCCCCAAACUGCGGACCCCUCUCCUGUCACCUCCCGCUGCUGUCACCCACCCGUGUCCCCAGGGCGUGGAGCUGAGCUCGCUGCAGGCAUUCAACUUCAGCAUGAUGGAGACGGAGUGUGCCGCCAGCGCCCGCAGCGACCCCGAGGACUGCGCCUUCAAGGAGAACGGGGUCAUCCUGAAGUGCUUGGGGACGGUGAAGAUGCUGCAGGAAUCCCCCGAGAUCGACCUGA